AUACUCUGGUUUCUCUUCAGAUAGUGUAAAUCUUUGGCCUUUUACUAAAGAUUUCCGUGGAGAGGAAUAAUUCUGAGUCUUAACCCAAUUUUUUGAGACCUUGCAUUUGCAGGGCU
This is a small nuclear RNA of Ictidomys tridecemlineatus (thirteen-lined ground squirrel), 116 nucleotides long. Its record names the gene U5. It matches the Rfam family "U5 spliceosomal RNA". From Rfam's summary of the family: U5 RNA is a component of both types of known spliceosome. The precise function of this molecule is unknown, though it is known that the 5' loop is required for splice site selection and p220 binding, and that both the 3' stem-loop and the Sm site are important for Sm protein binding and cap methylation. The record is from Ensembl. Lineage: Eukaryota; Metazoa; Chordata; Mammalia; Rodentia; Sciuridae.